RNAcentral lists this long non-coding RNA (498 nucleotides) under Anas platyrhynchos platyrhynchos (common mallard). RNAcentral describes it as "lncRNA (ENSAPLG00000026261.1)". The record is from RNAcentral. Lineage: Eukaryota; Metazoa; Chordata; Aves; Anseriformes; Anatidae.
UUUAGACACUUGGCAAACAAAUACUUUUUCUAAGUAAAGCCUAAGAACUAAUUUCCUAAAGUUUCCUGGAAUUCUGUCUAUGUUUAUAGCUACUGUAAUGCCCACUGUCUUAUUCAUCAUCUUGGGGCUUUUUCUUUUCCGCAUUAGUGCUAAAUACGGACUGUUAAAGAGGUCUUGAUUUGGUAAUGGUUAAUUGCACAGUUCCUGCUGAAGCAGUUCUCUUAAGUUGCUACGGAUCAGAAAGCAUGAAUGAACCUGCUGCCUGUUUUCCCUGAACGAGAAGGGUGGUGUCAAGGGGAGGCCAGAAUUUGUCUCUGGGGACUUGGAUGCUGUUUCUGCUUGAGGACCUCUCUGCCAGGGGACAAGUAUUUUACUCAGCCUUGUACCUCAGUCACUGCCUGUGAGAUGAAGGUAUUGCUUUUCAGUUUCACAUAUGUUCUGUGGAUAAAAGGCAUUUGUACGGGUUAAAGUUUCGUAAUAAAUAUUAGCAGGAUUUCA